RNAcentral lists this microRNA (21 nucleotides) under Drosophila erecta. RNAcentral describes it as "der-miR-978-3p". Its record names the gene der-miR-978-3p. Lineage: Eukaryota; Metazoa; Arthropoda; Insecta; Diptera; Drosophilidae. The record is from miRBase by way of RNAcentral.
GUGUCCAGUGCCGUUGAUUGC